Molecule: unclassified non-coding RNA, 206 nt
Filed under: Hevea brasiliensis (rubber tree)
Lineage: Eukaryota; Viridiplantae; Streptophyta; Magnoliopsida; Malpighiales; Euphorbiaceae
Source: RNAcentral
CGUGGCGUCCCCCUUCGCCAUGGCUCCAUCAAGCUGCUCGAGAGCCUUGUUGUAGUUGGUGACGUAGGUCUGGUGGUGCUUCUGGUGGUGCAGCUUCAUGAUCUCACCGCUGAUGGCGGGCUCCAGGGCGCCGUAGUCGUAGGGGAGGUCAGGUAGCGAGCAAGUCUGCAGGUGGCGGGCAUGCCGGAACCCUAGGGCAGCGCCGG